RNAcentral lists this unclassified non-coding RNA (2720 nucleotides) under Ixodes scapularis (black-legged tick). RNAcentral's name for it is "rap1 GTPase-activating protein 1, transcript variant X1". The record is from RNAcentral. Lineage: Eukaryota; Metazoa; Arthropoda; Arachnida; Ixodida; Ixodidae.
GUUGUCGGGCGUCUCUCGUGGCUGCGUUUAUGUGCGUCCGUGCGCCGGUUGUGUGUGUUUUGGGUCCGCGUUUUGAGGCUGGAAACGGCUGACUUUGCCCGUGUUUUGAUCCGUCGUCAACGUCCGCCGACCGAGCAGCGUCGUGUGACCGCCAUGUGGAUACCAAACGCCGCUCCCUAACUCCCGCAUCCGGAGAGCGAACCUCUGCAUGCCUUCACGGAGGGAAAUCAGCAAGUAAACGAGCAACAUCGCAGCCCCGCGUGUUCGAGCAGCGACGGACUCGUGGGCUCGUUGCCGCAAAAGUCCUGGCCCGCUGUCAGGCGCCAACCUGUACCCCGAGAUAGCCUCCUCGAUAUACCGGAUGUGCUGACGGCGUGAGACUACCUUCAUGAUGCAGUCGAGUCGAGCAAGCCACUGCUGCUAAAGCACGCAGCGAGAGAUCCCCAGCCGCAGGCAGCCUGCGCCUUUUCUUCGAUGCCUGAUCUAUGGCAGACACAAUGGCACGGUCGCUAGAAGACGAUAGCCCUCGGAAGAGGUCUGUCGAAGAGGAUGUUGGAAAGCCCGGUGAUCUGUUUGAGCUGCUCAACAAGCUUCAAAACAGCCGCUUGGAUGACCAGCGCUGUGAACUUCCCCUGGGCUCUGCGAAGAAGGCCACUGCUGCGGUCGUCAGUAAGGCUGAGAGGCAGACUCGGGACCAGGAAAAAUUGGAAGAGAUCUUGAAGAAGCAGGCCGCAUACCCCAUGGUCGUGCUCCCGGUGGCGGGAGGCUACUGGGUGGACGGCGUCGAGUGCUCUUCCCCGUCGGACGUCUUCGACAGCGUCUUUGUCCCGGGACAUUUCACGCCUACAAAGAUCAACAGCGAAGAGAUCGCCCUCACCUACCGGAGGCAUUUCUUGGGCAGGGAACACCUCAACUUCCUCGGUCGGGACGAUGCAUCAAAUCCGUUCGUCCUUUCGCUCAAACUGGAGUCCCUGGCUGAGAAGGACGAUCACUACAGGGUCAUCCUUAGAACAAAUGACGGGGUUGUGAGUGACGUAAUACCAAACGACCCUAAAGCAGACGUCUGGACUGCUGCUCGGUUGGUCAAGUCUCUUCGUGAUAGCGUCUCCAGCUUAUUUUUGCAACCAGUCUCAUUUCCAAAGGCAUCUGAUCUUCUGCUUGCCUUUGACGAACAAGUUCUAGUCCACGAGUACAAAUUUGGAGUCAUCUAUCAGCGAGCAGGGCAGACGAAAGAGGAAGAACUGUUUGGAAACCGCUAUCACAGCCAAGCCAUGGAAGAGUUCCUUCACAUGCUCGCUGAGAAAGUCACCCUGAAAGACUUCUUGGGUUUCAGGGGCGGCCUCGACACGCAGCAUGGACAGACGGGGCAAGAAUCAUUUUACACGACUUUCAAGGGCUGUGAGAUCAUGUUCCAUGUUUCCACCUUGCUCCCCUACACCGAAGGGGAUGUACAGCAGCUGCAGCGGAAGCGGCACAUUGGCAACGACAUUGUGGCCAUAGUGUUCCAGGAGGAGAACACGCCCUUCAUGCCCACCAUGAUCGCCUCUCACUUCCUCCACUCGUUCCUGGUGGUGCAGCCCGUGCGCCCCAAGCGCCUGCACUCGGGACGGCACAGGUACAGGGUUGCCGUCACAGCUCGUCUGGACGUUCCGUUCUUCGAGCCUAAGCUCCCGGUUCCCGCGGAGUUUGAUGCUGGUCCCGAGUUUCGGGACUUCAUCCUGAGGAAACUGAUCAAUGCAGAGAAUGCGUCCUACAGGGCAGAACAGUUUGCAAAGUUGGAGGCACGCACACGAUGCUCCCUGCUCCAAACGCUGCACGACCAGCUCCAAGCCAAGACGCAGGAGUUCUCCGGUGCGGUGAAUUUUGUGACAGACGACGGCCUGAUGGUCGGGCUCGACGCCGCCUGCGGGGUGGGGGAGCAGCAGAAUGGCUCGGCGUCUGCCACAACAACGGCAGCGGGGGCGAGUUUCUUGGAUGGCUUCUUUCGCAAGGCACUGAGCGUCAAGAUCCGUAGCCAAUCCGUUGAGUCUAACCUGGCCAAACGGUCCUCGUCGAGCGCCAGCAGUAGCAGCCUCACCAACACCGUCAUCGGGGAGAACACACCGCUGGCCACGGCAACACCCAAGGCACAGAGCACCCGAAAUGUCAGCCAAGGAUCUCCAUCGCAAGCAUCUACUCGCAGGCUGGACUUCCCGACGGUUACCUCGCUGCUGGGAAUGAGCCGUCGGCGCCCCAACAGCAGCCCCACCACGCCAGUGUCGAGCCCUGAGACCCCACCCCCGCUGUCCAAGGGCCAGCCACACCAGCAGCAGUCCGGCACCGCCGAGUCCGACACCUCUAGUCUCAAUAGCGUGGAGUCUGACCUGGGCCUCAGCGCCACCCCUGCGGCAGAGGUCCCUCCGUGCCGGACCUCCAGGACGCUGCUGCUGCCCUGCACCUCUGCCCCGGCCACGGCUGCCCUGGCACAGGCGGCGGCUCUUGCGGAGGGUGCUUAUCCGACACCUUCCCCACGGUGGUGCCGAUACUAUUCAAGGCUACCAGGACCAGAUCGAGACAAUGGCCCAGGAGCUGGCUCAUAUGAGGAGGGAGAGGUUUGACUGGCUCAAGGACAAAGCGGCACGUGGAGUCCCUUGGACCCUCUUUAUUCGCUUGAACUUGAUGCAGGCGGAGAUGCAGAAACUGACGGACAAGGAAGUUCGACUCACGACAGAACUGUCCCU